Molecule: ribosomal RNA, 253 nt
Filed under: uncultured bacterium
Lineage: Bacteria
Description: partial 16S ribosomal RNA
Rfam family: Bacterial small subunit ribosomal RNA
Source: RNAcentral
GACGUAGGGCGCGAGCGUUGUCCGGAUUUAUUGGGCGUAAAGAGCUCGUAGGCGGCUUGUUGCGUCAGCUGUGAAAACCCGCAGCUCAACUGUGGGCUUGCAGCUGAUACGGGCAGGCUUGAGUUCGGUAGAGGAGACUGGAAUUCAUGGUGUAGCAGUGAAAUGCGUAGAGAUCAUGAGGAAGACCAGUGGCGAAGGCGGGUCUCUGGACAGUUCCUGACGCUGAGGCACGAAGGUCAGGGGAGCAAACGGG